AACGAACGCUGGCGGCAUGCCUAACACAUGCAAGUCGAACGAGACCUUCGGGUCUAGUGGCGCACGGGUGCGUAACGCGUUGGAACCUGCCCUUAGGUUCGGAAUAACUCAGAGAAAUUUGAGCUAAUACCGGCUAAUGUCUUCGGACCAAAGAUUUAUCGCCUUUGGAUGGGCCCGCGUAGGAUUAGCUUGUUGGUGGGGUAAUGGCCUACCAAGGCGACGAUCCUUAGCUGGUCUGAGAGGAUGAUCAGCCACACUGGGACUGAGACACGGCCCAGAAUCCUACGGGAGGCAGCAGUGGGGAAUAUUGGACAAUGGGCGAAAGCCUGAUCCAGCAAUGACGCGUGAGUGAUGAAGGCCUUAGGGUUGUAAAGCUAUUUUAACAGGGAUGAUAAUGACAGUACCUGGAGAAUAAGCUCCGGCUAACUCCGUG
Molecule: ribosomal RNA, 433 nt
Filed under: uncultured bacterium
Lineage: Bacteria
Description: partial 16S ribosomal RNA
Rfam family: Bacterial small subunit ribosomal RNA
Source: RNAcentral